Molecule: ribosomal RNA, 515 nt
Filed under: Lactiplantibacillus plantarum
Lineage: Bacteria; Bacillati; Bacillota; Bacilli; Lactobacillales; Lactobacillaceae
Description: bacterial SSU rRNA
Rfam family: Bacterial small subunit ribosomal RNA
Source: RNAcentral
AGUUUGAUCCUGGCUCAGGACGAACGCUGGCGGCGUGCCUAAUACAUGCAAGUCGAACGAACUCUGGUAUUGAUUGGUGCUUGCAUCAUGAUUUACAUUUGAGUGAGUGGCGAACUGGUGAGUAACACGUGGGAAACCUGCCCAGAAGCGGGGGAUAACACCUGGAAACAGAUGCUAAUACCGCAUAACAACUUGGACCGCAUGGUCCGAGUUUGAAAGAUGGCUUCGGCUAUCACUUUUGGAUGGUCCCGCGGCGUAUUAGCUAGAUGGUGAGGUAACGGCUCACCAUGGCAAUGAUACGUAGCCGACCUGAGAGGGUAAUCGGCCACAUUGGGACUGAGACACGGCCCAAACUCCUACGGGAGGCAGCAGUAGGGAAUCUUCCACAAUGGACGAAAGUCUGAUGGAGCAACGCCGCGUGAGUGAAGAAGGGUUUCGGCUCGUAAAACUCUGUUGUUAAAGAAGAACAUAUCUGAGAGUAACUGUUCAGGUAUUGACGGUAUUUAACCAGAAAG